GACGAACGCUGGCGGCGUGCCUCAAACAUGCAAGUCGAGCGGACGGAGACCGAACCGCAAGGGGAGGUUGAAGUUAGCGGCGAACGGGUGAGUAACACGUGGGUAACCUACCCUAAAGUCUGGGACAACGGCCCGAAAGGGCCGCUAAUACCGGAUAAUGUCUUCGGGUCGCAUGGCCUGGGGAAGAAAGCCGAAAGGCGCUUAUGGAUGGGCUCGCGUCCCAUCAGCUAGUUGGUAAGGUAACGGCUUACCAAGGCGACGACGGGUAGCCGGUCUGAGAGGAUGGUCGGCCACACUGGGACUGAGAUACGGCCCAGACUCCUACGGGAGGCAGCAGUUGGGAAUAUUGGGCAAUGGGCGAAAGCCUGACCCAGCGACGCCGCGUGAGGGAAGAAGGCCUUCGGUCGUAACCUCUGUCAUCGGGGACGAAGAAAGUAGACGGUACCCGACGGAGGAAGCCCCUCGCUAACUACGUG
This 476-nucleotide ribosomal RNA is filed under the name uncultured bacterium. RNAcentral describes it as "bacterial SSU rRNA". It matches the Rfam family "Bacterial small subunit ribosomal RNA", at positions 28 to 507 of the family's 1533-position model. The record is from RNAcentral.